This 3522-nucleotide unclassified non-coding RNA is filed under the name Portunus trituberculatus (swimming crab). RNAcentral's name for it is "uncharacterized LOC123509675, transcript variant X1". Lineage: Eukaryota; Metazoa; Arthropoda; Malacostraca; Decapoda; Portunidae. The record is from RNAcentral.
GGUAAGCGCUGCGUCACCAGUCAGUCAGUCACCAGCUAGUCAACAUUCACUAGUAUUGUCCUCGCAGCCUUGGUGUAAAGGGAAGUACUGUCCUCCUGCAGGGCAUAGGACGUAAUACACUGUUUACAUCAACAUGAACAAGACCACCGUGAAGUAAGAUGGCGAGUGUGAGUGAUGGCGAUGAAACCCUGGUGAAGGAGGACAGUGAGGGCAGCCCAGUUCAGCCAUUUCCACAGUUGCUGCCAGUGAAGGGGCUGAGCCAGGCCCUGACAGCCCUCACUCUCCCCAGAGUUGAGGGUGAAACUGUGUCUUGGAUUGUUCCUGAGAAGGAUGAUGGGAAGGGCCAAGUAAGCAGCAGUACCAACACAGAGGUGUGCAAGGGUUGCCAGAAGCAGCGUAAUGCACAAGGGCGGGGAGCCAAAAGAGCAAUAGAACCGCCCUUACUAGAAUACUCCUUUGCUAAUCUGUACCUUUCCCCUGGCAAGAAGAAGCCUCUAUUGCGACGGAGCAAGCUGGCAGCUCUGGGGGUGCAGUACAGUAGUGAGGUGCGUGGUGGACAGAGCAUAGGGAUUAUAAUGGAGCAGGUCACUUCACCCAAAGAUGUGUGCAUUAGUGACACAUCCACGGUGGAAGUUGGAGUGGACAAGUGUUUGAACCCAAAGGUUCACAGUGGCAGCUCACUUAUUAGUUCCAAAAAGACUGAGCCAGUGGCAGCAGUAGAACUUCAUGUUCCUAAGGCAAGAGUGUUUGAGUUAGUCAGUAAAUCAACAGAUACUGAAGACUUUGCCAGUGUGUGCCAGAGUAACCAGAGUCAGGUAGAAAGUAGAUAUAAUGUAAGUAAGAAGCUAGAGUUUUCACCACAUGGAUGCAGACACCGAGGGCAGCCAAAGUCACGGCGUGCCCUCUACAAGAGGCGGUGUCGCAGGCGGCUGGCAGAGGUGGAGCUGCCAGACCUGAAGAGUCUCUCCAUCACAGAAGCAGGUACAGCACGCUCAUGCUCCCAGCAGGCACGCAGCCUGGACUACGAAGACGUCACCAUGGAUGAACUGGCUGCCUACUUGGACAACUUUCUGUACUUGCCAAAGAAGAUGUCCCAUAUGGCAGAGAUGAUGUACACCUGAGGAUGUAGAAGCUGCCCUCCACCAGACUCUGGGCAUUGGUCGCUGAUGCUGAAAUUUUGUCUACACGUUGCACCAUCAUGAGCAAUCACCAGAAGACGAGGAUCUUUCUGUCUGCUCUGGUUGUUGAUGUAUCUCAGCACCGUGGAGCUUCAUGUGACUCUUGCACUUGUUCUAACAGUUUCUCUUGCCACACCUUGUGCAAGUCAUUAAUCAGUGAAAUAUAUCAUUUUUACCUAUAAGUCAAGAGGAAAGCAAUAUAUUUUUGAAAAAAAAUAUAUAUAAAACUUUAAGGCAGGUAUGGAACUGACCUGGUGAAAGGUGGGCAAAAAGAAAAAAAUAAAGGUGACCACCUCUUCCAACAGCAAAAAGGUCAAGGAAGUCUGUUCCCCUUAAUGAUUAGUAGUCUGUAAUGUGUUUAAUUAAGGCAAGCUACACUGGCAUGAUUUGUAUCACAUCUAGGGAGAGGGGCUCUAUACACCAUAGCAGUUGGCUGAUUCCCUUGCCCAGCAAACUUCAGUGAUGAAUAUUGCAAAUGAUGAGGCAAUUGUUAAGGAGCACAGAAACCUUUAAAACUAGCCAUGUAUUACUACAUUACUCACAGUGAAACUAAGCUGGUAAAUACUCCACACAUUAUAAUGCCUAGUCAGAGAGAGAAGUUGAAAAGUAGUUACGUAUAUGUUGCACGUUAAAACUUGGUGCUAGAGAUUUUUUUCCCCCACCCCAGCUUACUUUGGUCCUUGAUAUGAAUUUUUGUUAUUUUUCUUCAGCAUGUUAGUUCACUGCAGUCAAUCUAAUGCUACAUAUUUCGUAGGCUACAUGUUUCAAUUAAUUUAUAGGCAUCAAUGGUCACACAUUUAGUAAUUUUGAUGCUGCCUCCCCAAAGAUUUCUUUUAUACUGUGAGUUUCUUGGUUGAUGCCCCCUACAAGUGUUUUAUCCAAAAGUGAUCCUGAAUGAAAGGAGCACAGGUGAUAGGACAGCCUUUAUUUUUUUCAAGGAGGUGUUGGUGUUAUAUAUGUGGUGUGUGGUGGGUAGGAAACAUGGCCUCCAGACAAGUUACCUGUAGAGAUGAACUAGCAAAGUUCAGACAGUACUUGAUAUUGGCUUCCAGUGCUGAGCUUAGACUUAAAAAGGGAGUAAUAUGGUGUCAUUGUUGUCCACAUUACUCUUGGCAAAUGGUUUUAGAAAAAUCAAAGAUAUAACAUGGUGCACUUAUUAAAUUUUAUAUAUAUAUAUAUAUAUAUAUAUAUAUAUAUAUAUAUAUAUAUAUAUAUAUAUAUAUAUAUAUAUAUAACACACACACACACACACACAGAGGUGGGCGGUUUGAAUUGGAAGUCUAAUUAUCCAAUUAAUUAGACUCGCAUUUUUUAAUUGGAUAAUAUCAAUUGGAUUGCCGAAAACUUAAGCAAUUUGUAAUUCAUCAAGGAUGAUGUCUUUGUUUUUUUCACAAUAGCAGUUUUUUUUUUUCUUUCAUAUUUUCUCAAGUAAAUUUUUUGUUUUGUUUUUUGUUUUAUUCUAUUCUAUUCACACUUUCAUAUUUCUCUGUAAUAAAAUGCAUAAAAUAUGAUGAUUAAUUAUUAAAUUGAGGAUUCAGCUGGCAGGCUUAGAGUAAAAAACUUUAAAUAUUAUCAGGUAUAUAUGGAACAAAGUUGACCCUAUCUUUUUUAUCUGAGAGAAUAUAUAAGUAUUACUGUGUAUUAUAUGUAAAACCUAUGUACCAUAUAAUUAAAUUUUUGUGUUAUAUUUUGAUUAAAAUAAAAUGUUUAUUUUUAUUGUAAAAGCUUGGUUUCUCUUUGUAUUAAUUAGAAAUGGCUUAUUUAGGCUAAAAAGCAUUAAAUUCCCUUUAGAAAUAUUGAAUCACUUUUAAAAAUAUCGAAUCGCUAAUCAGACUUAGCUUUUUGGCACAUGAAUUGGAUAAUCGAAUCAAACUUGAUGAGCGGGCGAAUUGGUAAUUCCUAAUUGGACUUCUGUCUUUUUUUAUCGCACCAGCCUCUGUAUAUAUAUAUAUAUAUAUAUAUAUAUAUAUAUAUAUAUAUAUAUAUAUAUAUAUGAUAGGCAUAAAGGUGGAAUUUCUGUGGUUAUCCAACCAAACAUAUAAUACAUCUUGUGCUUGAAAACCCAUUGAUAUGUAAUAUACGUAAUGUUAUUAGUAUUGUCCUCCAGUCAGACCUUUUUGCUAUUUGUUAGUCCUUUAGACUAAAAAAAUAAUGUUAAGAUUGACAGAUGAAGGUGAAUUUAAGAGAUGAAAUAAGUUGAUGAGGGCCCUGUGAUAAAAGCCAACAAUAUGGAAUGGGUUCUUGUUUAUACCUAAGCCAAGGAUAUCAUUAUAAGAGGAACUUCACUUGGAAUGUUGAAUAAUGAAUGUUUUUUCUUUUUAAUUUUCCAUAAAUCCUUAUGGCA